RNAcentral lists this long non-coding RNA (749 nucleotides) under Homo sapiens (human). RNAcentral's name for it is "non-protein coding LINC01605:11". The record is from RNAcentral. Lineage: Eukaryota; Metazoa; Chordata; Mammalia; Primates; Hominidae.
GUAAUUUCUCCCCUAGCAAGAAUGAGGAAGAUGAAGAGCUCGGGUAUCUGAGGGCUGGUGUGUCUGCAUGCGUGUGUGUUUUGGGGGCCGACUGAAGGAAGAGAAGGCUGGAGAGAGGGAACAUGGGUCUGAGGGCACAUCGCUAAGGGGUCAAGAGGCCUAAAGGAGGAGUCUAAGGCUCUCCAUCGAACUUGGACUUGGUCUACAUUAGACUUUAACCUCCAUGAGGCUUGGACUUUCAGGCUUCCUCCCUCACACCGCGGGCAGGUGAGGCGUCUGCUACAGGCCUGGUCUCGCAGAGGGGGCCCAGCGCCCCCCGCCGCCGCCUUCUCCUGGAGUCUGUGUGACAGAAUGGGACCUGUGGGAAAGCAGCACGUCAGCACCCAGCCCCGCUUGCGCGCCAGCAGCUAAUUAAAGCCAGGAAGGUGAUGGCGAUUUUCAACUCAUUCCCGUUACAAACAGCCGACCUUCCUACCGAGUUCAAGUACCUUCUGCCUGGCCUGGAAGAACAAUAUCUCUCUGUCUCCCUCUUCCACUGGCCCUCACCUGCCUUCCCCUGAACAUGCAUUUUGCCUGACAGGAGACAGAGGCAGUUGAGAUGGAGUCUUGCUAUAUGGCCCAGCUGGUAAUGCCUAGAUUCUUGAGUCCCUCCCUGGCUCAUCCCUGGGAGCAGCACUGAACCCCUUGUCUGACACCUGUCUGGAAAUGGAGCCUGCACAUUGACCCUAGCCAUGUGUGGUCUUGUUACU